AAUGGGCGAAAGCCUGAUCCAGCCAUGCCGCGUGCAGGAUGACUGCCUAUGGGUUGUAAACUGCUUUUAUAUAGGAAGAAAACUUUCUCGUGAGAAAGCUUGACGGUACUAUAAGAAUAAGGAUCGGCUAACUCCGUGCCAGCAGCCGCGGUAAUACGGAGGAUCCAAGCGUUAUCCGGAAUCAUUGGGUUUAAAGGGUCCGUAGGUGACAAAUAAGUCAGAGGUGAAAUCCUGCAGCUCAACUGUAGAACUGCCUUUGAUACUGUUUGUCUUGAGUUAUUAUGAAGUGGUUAGAAUGUGUAGUGUAGCGGUGAAAUGCAUAGAUAUUACACAGAAUACCGAUUGCGAAGGCAGAUCACUAAUAAUUAACUGACACUGAGGGACGAAAGCGUGGGUAGCGAACUGGAUU
This 409-nucleotide ribosomal RNA is filed under the name uncultured Flavobacteriia bacterium. RNAcentral describes it as "bacterial SSU rRNA". It matches the Rfam family "Bacterial small subunit ribosomal RNA", at positions 370 to 779 of the family's 1533-position model. The record is from RNAcentral. Lineage: Bacteria; Pseudomonadati; Bacteroidota; Flavobacteriia.